AUAAAGAAAGCGAAUAGAUUUAUAAAGGGCCAACCUGUUUUGCGUUGCCGAAGACUCGAUGGAAGGUAUGGCAACGUUGAUUUUCUCUCCCCUUCAUUCGCAUUGCAUUAUAACGCAAACGUAAUAAUGACGUCAUGCAUACCGCAUUGAAGAACAUUCAAAGUGUGAAUGCAAAGGCAACAUAAAAUCAGCACACCUAUUUUUCGGCUCCUUUGCUUUCAGUCAUCUGUCAAACUCUUGUUUUGAUUUUGUUUCUGCACCGUAAAGUUCGGAGCGGCAUCUCGGCAGUGAUUAGAUUAGGUUCCUGCUCAGAAAUCUCACCGUUAAUUACCAGCUCAUCAGAUGGAGGCAAACGAAGCAUCGAUCGACGACUGCGAGGCGAGUUUCUCUGGCCAGUUUCGGGGUUCGAAUGGCCCCACGCUUGGUGCACAAAUGGAUGAGCCACUCGAUCUCUGUGUCCAUCGUCAUUCAG
Aedes aegypti (yellow fever mosquito) is the source of this 472-nucleotide long non-coding RNA. RefSeq lists it as uncharacterized. NCBI's taxonomy places the organism in Eukaryota, Metazoa, Arthropoda, Insecta, Diptera, Culicidae. The record is from RefSeq and is a predicted model, not a curated record. The transcript has 2 exons.